This is an RNA transcript of Trifolium pratense (red clover), 1401 nucleotides long. RefSeq lists it as uncharacterized. The record is from RefSeq and is a predicted model, not a curated record. Lineage: Eukaryota; Viridiplantae; Streptophyta; Magnoliopsida; Fabales; Fabaceae. The transcript has 3 exons.
AUUUUAUUGAAGGAAAUGUGAACAAACAGCAACAACAAUCGUCUCAUUUUUUCUCUGAGAAUCGUUCAACACUAAGUUUCGUUUGAUUCUGAGAAUCGUUCAACUUCGAUUCAGAAUCGUUCAUCAUCCCUCAAGGUUCAGAAUCUUUCAAUUGAAUUUCAGUUCUCUCAAGCUUCGAUUGAGCAAAUUCUUCUCAGCUUCUCAAGCUUCGAUUCAGUUUCUCAGCAAAGCUUCAAUUCAUAACCUCUCAAGCUUCAAUUUAGUUUUGUUCAUCGUUCAACUUCAGCUUCGGUUUAUAAUUUUGUUAUUUUUUUUGUAGUUAUUUUUCCAAUGUUCCCUAUAAAUUGGUAAUUAGGUAAUUGGAAAUUUGUCCUAUGAAGCAUUGAUUUGUUGAUUGGUUUAUAUGGUUCAUAUGAAGCAUUAUAAGUAUGGUUUAUGUGAAGCAUUACAAUGAGCAUAUGAUGAAAUGCUUCAUGUUUGGGUAGCAUUAAAACUCUUGACUUAAUCAAUUGUUGUGAAAUCCUGAACAAAUUUUUGUGAAAUUGUUGUUAUGAUAGGUUGAAGAAGUUGUGAAGAUGAUGGAAAUUGAGUUGGGAAGUGGAUGGAUAGCUCAUCAGCACUGUAAGGACAGGAAGGUGUCAUUGUCAGGUUCAAUCUGUACUGCUGUUACUUGGCGGCCGUGAAAUACCUCCAACAGUACCUUCCAUGCCACUGACGAAAAUAACCGGGUAAUACUACAUUAUUCGUUGGAGUGUGAUUGAUAGUCUUUUGUAGUCGAAUAUCUGGCUCAUGGAGCAUUCUACUAGGGAUUUAUCAGUACUCCUCAAAAAUUCAGUGUCCCUCAAAGAUUAGCUUCAUUGAUUAGAAGUAGUAUUAAGGAUGCUAACAAAUACUCUCACUAGCAGACAAUUAAUUUGGUGGCGCGAUAUCUUGAAGAUUGGGGGAGAAGACAACGAUGAUGGAUGGUUUAUUGAUAAUGUGUGUAAUGUUCUUGGCGUUGGCACCAUAGAUGGUUGGGUCCAGUUUGCUUCAAGAAUCUUGAUCCUAGUUUGUUUAGCAAAGCUGCAAACCCAGGGGCCUCUCAGAGGCUGAUGAGAAUUGGAAUUGGCAGACGUCUUGCUGCCAGGAGAGAGGGAAACUGCCACCGAAAAGUUGAGCAUUCUGUCAGAGUUCAAAAACCAAUUUUUGAUCCCCUAUUUCAAUUUUUUUUUACUUUAAGUCUCCAAUCCUAUUGGGAUUUCAAAUCCACAUUGCAUACAUGAGUGUAAUUUUUUGCCUUCCACAUGUAUACAGGCCAGCGAUAACAAAAUUCUAUUUAAUCAAAUCGAAUAAAUACUCCGGUCUGUUUCUACUUAAAGUAACUAUUUAAGCCAAAAAAAAAUAGUUACUUUAAGUUUCUAA